CAAGUCCGGCGGGAAAUCCAACGGCUCAACCGUUGGGCGUCCGGCGGAAACUGCGUGGCUUGGGACCAGGAAAGCUCGACGGGUACGUCCGGGGUACGAGUAGAAAUCCCGUAAUCCUGGACGGACCACCGAUGGCGAAAGCACCUCGAGAAGCACGGAUCCGACAGUGAGGGACAAAAGCUGGGGUCUCGAACCGGAUUAAAUACCCGGGUAGUCCCAGCCGUAAACGAUGCCAGUUAGGUGUGGCAGAGGCUACGAGCCUCCGCUGUGCCGUAGGGAAGCCGAGAAACUGGCCGCCUGGGAAGUACGUCCGCAAGGAUGAAACUUAAAGGAAUUGGCGGGGGGGCACUACAACCGGAGGAGCCUGCGGUUUAAUUGGACUCAACGCCGGACAUCUCACCAGCUCCGACUACAGUGAUGACGGUCAGGUUGAUGACCUUACCAAGACGCUGUAGAGAGGAGGUGCAUGGCCGCCGUCAGCUCGUACCGUGAGGCGUCCUGUUAAGUCAGGCAACGAGCGAGACCCGCACGCUUAUUGCCAGCAUCAGGUUUCCUGGAUGGGUACAUUAAGCGGACUGCCGGUGCUGAAAGCGGAGGAAGGAACGGGCAACGGUAGGUCAGUAUGCCCCGAAUGAGACUGGGCGUACACGACGGGCUACAAUGGCCAGGACAGUGGGUUCCAACCUCGAGAGAGGACGGUAAUCUCCGAAACCUGGUCGUAGUUCGGAUUGCGGGUUG
Molecule: ribosomal RNA, 738 nt
Filed under: uncultured Halobacteria archaeon
Lineage: Archaea; Methanobacteriati; Methanobacteriota; Halobacteria
Description: bacterial SSU rRNA
Rfam family: Archaeal small subunit ribosomal RNA
Source: RNAcentral